UACAGAGGCCUCGAGCGUUAGCCGGAAUCACUGGGCUUAAAGCGUGUGUAGGUGGAUGCCUAAGUACCUUGUGAAAUCCCACGGCUUAACCGUGGAACUGCUGGGUAUACUGGGCGUCUUGAGCCACUCAGGGGCUACCGGAACAAGCGGUGGAGCGGUGAAAUGCGUAGAUAUCGCUUGGAACGCCAAUGGUGAAAACAGGUAGCUGGGGGUGUGCUGACACUGAGACACGAAAGCCAGGGGAGCAAACGGG
Molecule: ribosomal RNA, 253 nt
Filed under: uncultured bacterium
Lineage: Bacteria
Description: partial 16S ribosomal RNA
Rfam family: Bacterial small subunit ribosomal RNA
Source: RNAcentral